CCCUAUGGGGUGCACCAGUCGAGAAUCCCUACGGGGUGCAGCAGGCGCGAAAACUUUACAAUGCUGGCAACAGCGAUAAGGGAACCUCGAGUGCCAGGUUACAAAUCUGGCUGUCGAGAUGCCUAAAAAGCAUUUCAUAGCAAGGGCCGGGCAAGACCGGUGCCAGCCGCCGCGGUAACACCGGCGGCUCGAGUGGUAACCGUUAUUAUUGGGUCUAAAGGGUCUGUAGCCGGCCGGAUAAGUCUCUUGAGAAAUCUGGCAGCUUAACUGUCAGGCUUUCAGGAGAUACUGUCUGGCUCGAGGCCGGGAGAGGUGAGAGGUACUUCAGGGGUAGGGGUGAAAUCUUGUAAUCCUUGAAGGACCACCAGUGGCGAAGGCGUCUCACCAGAACGGACCUGACGGCAAGGGACGAAAGCUAGGGGCACGAACCGG
This 432-nucleotide ribosomal RNA is filed under the name uncultured archaeon. Its description in RNAcentral is "bacterial SSU rRNA". It matches the Rfam family "Archaeal small subunit ribosomal RNA", at positions 289 to 727 of the family's 1478-position model. The record is from RNAcentral.